CACAAUGGGCGGAAGCCUGAUGCAGCGACUCCUCGUGGGGGAUGACGGCCUACGGGUUGUAAACAACUUUCGCCCGGGACGAAGCGAGAGUGACGGUACCGGGAGAAGAAGCACCGGCCUACUACGUGCCAGCAGCCGCGGUAAUACGUAGGGUGCAAGCGUUGUCCGGAAUUAUUGGGCGUAAAUAGACUGUAGGCGGUGUGUCGCGUCUGCCGUGAAAACCUGCGGCUUAACCGUGGGCGUGCGGUGGAUACGGGCACACUUGAGUUCGGUAGGGGAGACUGGAAUUCCUGGUGUAGCGGUGGAAUGCGCAGAUAUCAGGAGGAACACCAGUGGCGAAGGCGGGUCUCUGGGCCGAAACUGACGCUGAGGAGCGAAAGCGUGGGGAGCGAACAG
Molecule: ribosomal RNA, 396 nt
Filed under: uncultured bacterium
Lineage: Bacteria
Description: partial 16S ribosomal RNA
Rfam family: Bacterial small subunit ribosomal RNA
Source: RNAcentral